CCCUGAAGACACUCAUGCAGGAG
This 23-nucleotide non-coding RNA is filed under the name Cricetulus griseus (Chinese hamster). The record is from RNAcentral. Lineage: Eukaryota; Metazoa; Chordata; Mammalia; Rodentia; Cricetidae.